This 505-nucleotide ribosomal RNA is filed under the name uncultured bacterium. Its description in RNAcentral is "partial 16S ribosomal RNA". It matches the Rfam family "Bacterial small subunit ribosomal RNA", at positions 28 to 507 of the family's 1533-position model. The record is from RNAcentral.
GACGAACGCUGGCGGCGUGCCUAAUACAUGCAAGUAGAACGCACAGUUUAUACCGUAGCUUGCUGCACCAUAGACUGCGAGUUGCGAACGGGUGAGUAACGCGUAGGUAACCUGCCUGGUAGCGGGGGAUAACUAUUGGAAACGAUAGCUAAUACCGCAUAAUAUUAAUUAUUGCAUGAUAAUUAAUUGAAAGGUGCAAUUGCACCACUACCAGAUGGACCUGCGUUGUAUUAGCUAGUAGGUGAGGUAACGGCUCACCUAGGCGACGAUACAUAGCCGACCUGAGAGGGUGAUCGGCCACACUGGGACUGAGACACGGCCCAGACUCCUACGGGAGGCAGCAGUAGGGAAUCUUCGGCAAUGGACGAAAGUCUGACCGAGCAACGCCGCGUGAGUGAAGAAGGUUUUCGGAUCGUAAAGCUCUGUUGUAAGAGAAGAACGGGUGUGAGAGUGGAAAGUUCACACUGUGACGGUAUCUUACCAGAAAGGGACGGCUAACUACGUG